UACAGAGGUCUCAAGCGUUGUUCGGAUUCAUUGGGCGUAAAGGGUGCGUAGGCGGCGCGGUAAGUCGGGUGUGAAAUCUCGGAGCUUAACUCCGAAACUGCAUUCGAUACUGCCGUGCUUGAGGACUGGAGAGGAGACUGGAAUUUACGGUGUAGCGGUGAAAUGCGUAGAUAUCGUAAGGAAGACCAGUGGCGAAGGCGGGUCUCUGGACAGUUCCUGACGCUGAGGCACGAAGGUCAGGGGAGCAAACGGGAUUAGAUACCCCGGUAGUCCUGACAGUAAACGGUGCACGUUUGGUGUGGGAGGAUUCGACCCCUUCUGCGCCGGAGCUAACGCGUUAAACGUGCCGCCUGGGGAGUACGGUCGCAAGAUUAAAACUCAAAGAAAUUGACGGGGGCCCGCACAAGCGGUGGAGUAUGUGGCUCAAUUCGAUGCAACGCGAAGAACCUUACCAGGCCUUGACAUGCAUUGCUAAGUUGGUGAAAGCCAGCGACUGGAGCAAUCCAGACCUUGCACAGGUGCUGCAUGGCUGUCGUCAGCUCGUGUCGUGAGAUGUUGGGUUAAGUCCCGCAACGAGCGCAACCCCUGUGAACUGUUGCCACGGAACCGAGAGGUUCCAGCACUCUGUUCAGACUGCCCCGCUCUAACGGGGAGGAAGGUGGGGACGACGUCAAGUCAGUAUGGCCCUUACGGCCUGGGCUGCACACGUACUACAAUGCCCAGCACAGAACGAUCCAAGACCGCGAGGUGGAGGAAAUCACUAAAACUGGGCCCAGUUCAGAUUGAAGUCUGCAACUCGACUUCAUGAAGCCGGAAUCGCUAGUAAUGGCGUAUCAGCUACGACGCCGUGAAUACGUUCCCGGGCCU
Molecule: ribosomal RNA, 867 nt
Filed under: uncultured bacterium
Lineage: Bacteria
Description: bacterial SSU rRNA
Rfam family: Bacterial small subunit ribosomal RNA
Source: RNAcentral